AGACCUGCGACUGGCCCAGUCGCCCCUGGGGCCCUUUGCCACUCCCUUGGCAAGGAGAGCCGAGACCUCAGUUCCCGGCGGCUCUUGCGGGGCACAGGUGAGCCCUGGCUGCGCGCGCGGCCCCUCCUCCCCGGCGCCUCCCAGAUGGGGGCUCCGGAGGUGGCGCCCAGGCUCUGAGCUACCCUAGGUCUGCAGACUAGCGGGCAUUGGCCAGAGACAUGGCCCAGCCACUGGCCUUCAUCCUCGAUGUCCCUGAGACCCCAGGGGACCAGGGCCAGGGCCCCAGCCCCUAUGAUGAAAGCGAAGUGCACGACUCCUUCCAGCAGCUCAUCCAGGAGCAGAGCCAGUGCACGGCCCAGGAGGGGCUGGAGCUGCAGCAGAGAGAGCGGGAGGUGACAGGAAGUAGCCAGCAGACACUCUGGCGGCCCGAGGGCACCCAGAGCACGGCCACACUCCGCAUCCUGGCCAGCAUGCCCAGCCGCACCAUUGGUGAGUGGGACCCUCAGCCUCGGCCUCGGCCCCGGCCCCGAGUUGACCCCAGUCCCUGGGGCUGGGCUGGGCUUCCUGCCAGGCAUCUCCCUGGGUAGUGGCUGCUCCCGUAGCUCAGAGCCAGGCCCAGGGCGGGCUCCUAGCCCAUCCCAUCUGCUGCCUGGGGGCCCAGCACAGCCCCAUGUGGCCCUCGCUGGGCUCCAAAAAUGACUCCAGAGUCAUCACGGGGUAAAAAUAGGCUUUCGGAAUGCAGUGGUGCCUGAAGUCUUUGUUGAAAGGAUUUUCCUGGGUCCUGGGAAGGGGUGAGGGACGCAGAGGCCUGUGGUGAGCCCAUCCUGAGGGGAGGGAGGCCUG
RNAcentral lists this long non-coding RNA (843 nucleotides) under Homo sapiens (human). RNAcentral describes it as "non-protein coding lnc-TK1-4:1". Lineage: Eukaryota; Metazoa; Chordata; Mammalia; Primates; Hominidae. The record is from RNAcentral.